GCGUAAUAGCUCACUGGUCGAGUCGGCCUGCGCGGAAGAUGUAACGGGGCUAAACCAUGCACCGAAGCUGCGGCAGCGACACUAUGUGUUGUUGGGUAGGGGAGCGUUCUGUAAGCCUGCGAAGGUGGCCUGUGAGGGUUGCUGGAGGUAUCAGAAGUGCGAAUGCUGACAUAAGUAACGAUAAAGCGGGUGAAAAGCCCGCUCGCCGGAAGACCAAGGGUUCCUGUCCAACGUUAAUCGGGGCAGGGUGAGUCGACCCCUAAGGC
This 266-nucleotide ribosomal RNA is filed under the name Klebsiella pneumoniae. RNAcentral's name for it is "partial 23S ribosomal RNA". It matches the Rfam family "Bacterial large subunit ribosomal RNA", at positions 1132 to 1397 of the family's 2925-position model. Lineage: Bacteria; Pseudomonadati; Pseudomonadota; Gammaproteobacteria; Enterobacterales; Enterobacteriaceae. RNAcentral also lists the same sequence under 2 other names. The record is from RNAcentral.